This 756-nucleotide ribosomal RNA is filed under the name uncultured Pseudomonas sp. RNAcentral describes it as "bacterial SSU rRNA". It matches the Rfam family "Bacterial small subunit ribosomal RNA", at positions 28 to 776 of the family's 1533-position model. The record is from RNAcentral. Lineage: Bacteria; Pseudomonadati; Pseudomonadota; Gammaproteobacteria; Pseudomonadales; Pseudomonadaceae.
GAUGAACGCUCGCUGUGUGCCUAAUACAUGCAUGUUGAACGGGAUGUAGCAAUACAUUCAGUAGCGAAUGGGUGAGUAACACGUACCUAACCUACCUUUAAGACUGGGAUAACUAUUGGAAACAAUAGCUAAUACCGGAUAUAGUUAUUUAUCGCAUGAUGAGUAAUAGAAAGGAGCUUCACAGCUUCACUUAAAAAUGGGGGUGCGGAACAUUAGUUAGUUGGUAGGGUAAUGGCCUACCAAGACGAUGAUGUUUAGCCGGGCCGAGAGGCUGUACGGCCACACUGGGACUGAGAUACGGCCCAGACUCCUACGGGAGGCAGCAGUAGGGAAUCUUCGGCAAUGGACGAAAGUCUGACCGAGCAACGCCGCGUGAGUGAAGAAGGUUUUCGGAUCGUAAAGCUCUGUUGUAAGAGAAGAACGGGUGUGAGAGUGGAAAGUUCACACUGUGACGGUAUCUUACCAGAAAGGGACGGCUAACUACGUGCCAGCAGCCGCGGUAAUACGUAGGUGGCAAGCGUUAUCCGGAAUCAUUGGGUUUAAAGGGUCCGUAGGCGGGCUGAUAAGUCAGAGGUGAAAGCGCUUAGCUCAACUAAGCAACUGCCUUUGAAACUGUCAGUCUUGAAUGAUUGUGAAGUAGUUGGAAUGUGUAGUGUAGCGGUGAAAUGCUUAGAUAUUACACAGAACACCGAUAGCGAAGGCGUAUUACUAACAAUUUAUUGACGCUGAUGGACGAAAGCGUGGGGAGCGAACAGG